This 495-nucleotide ribosomal RNA is filed under the name uncultured bacterium. RNAcentral's name for it is "bacterial SSU rRNA". It matches the Rfam family "Bacterial small subunit ribosomal RNA", at positions 24 to 518 of the family's 1533-position model. The record is from RNAcentral.
UCAGGAUGAACGCUGGCGGCGUGCUUAACACAUGCAAGUCGAACGGAGAUUAGACGCUGACGAGACUUCGGUCAAAUCUGUUAAUCUUAGUGGCGGACGGGUGAGUAACGCGUGGGUAACCUGCCGUAUGCAGGGGGACAACAGUUGGAAACGACUGCUAAUACCGCAUAAGCGCACGGUUUUGCAUGAAACAGUGUGGAAAGAUUUAUCGGCAUACGAUGGACCCGCGUUUGAUUAGCUAGUUGGUGAGGUAACGGCCCACCAAGGCGACGAUCAAUAGCCGGCCUGAGAGGGCAAUCGGCCACAUUGGGACUGAGACACGGCCCAAACUCCUACGGGAGGCAGCAGUGGGGAAUAUUGCACAAUGGGGGAAACCCUGAUGCAAGCGACGCCGCGUGAGUGAAGAAGUAUUUCGGUACGUAAAGCUCUAUCAGCAGGGAAGAUGAUGACGGUACCUGACUAAGAAGCCCCGGCUAACUACGUGCCAGCCGCUGC